RNAcentral lists this ribosomal RNA (641 nucleotides) under Micromonospora sp. I15A-00817. RNAcentral's name for it is "bacterial SSU rRNA". It matches the Rfam family "Bacterial small subunit ribosomal RNA", at positions 97 to 753 of the family's 1533-position model. Lineage: Bacteria; Bacillati; Actinomycetota; Actinomycetes; Micromonosporales; Micromonosporaceae. The record is from RNAcentral.
GGCGAACGGGUGAGUAACACGUGAGUAACCUGCCCUAGGCUUUGGGAUAACCCUCGGAAACGGGGGCUAAUACCGAAUAUGACUUCCUGCCGCAUGGUGGGGGGUGGAAAGUUUUUCGGCCUGGGAUGGACUCGCGGCCUAUCAGCUUGUUGGUGGGGUAAUGGCCUACCAAGGCGACGACGGGUAGCCGGCCUGAGAGGGCGACCGGCCACACUGGGACUGAGACACGGCCCAGACUCCUACGGGAGGCAGCAGUGGGGAAUAUUGCACAAUGGGCGGAAGCCUGAUGCAGCGACGCCGCGUGAGGGAUGACGGCCUUCGGGUUGUAAACCUCUUUCAGCAGGGACGAAGCGAGAGUGACGGUACCUGCAGAAGAAGCACCGGCCAACUACGUGCCAGCAGCCGCGGUAAGACGUAGGGUGCGAGCGUUGUCCGGAUUUAUUGGGCGUAAAGAGCUCGUAGGCGGCUUGUCGCGUCGACUGUGAAAACCCGCGGCUCAACCGCGGGCUUGCAGCCGAUACGGGCAGGCUAGAGUUCGGUAGGGGAGACUGGAAUUCCUGGUGUAGCGGUGAAAUGCGCAGAUAUCAGGAGGAACACCGGUGGCGAAGGCGGGUCUCUGGGCCGAUACUGACGCUGAGGAG